This 219-nucleotide long non-coding RNA is filed under the name Elaeis guineensis (African oil palm). Its description in RNAcentral is "long non-coding RNA (EGUI_LNC066982)". Lineage: Eukaryota; Viridiplantae; Streptophyta; Magnoliopsida; Arecales; Arecaceae. The record is from RNAcentral.
GAUGAGAACCAUUGGAAGGUUGUAAAGACCAUCCUUAAGUAUUUGAGAAAUACUAAGGACCAGUGACUUAUAUAUGGAGAAUCAAAUUUAAAAUUUGUGGGAUUUAUAAAUCCUAGUUUUCAAUCGGAUCAUGAGGACAGUAAGUAUGUCAGAAAAUAUUUAUAUCAUAAAUGGUGGAGCAAUCUAUUGGAAGAGUUUCAAGCAACACACUAUGGUCGA